This 437-nucleotide ribosomal RNA is filed under the name uncultured bacterium. RNAcentral's name for it is "partial 16S ribosomal RNA". It matches the Rfam family "Bacterial small subunit ribosomal RNA", at positions 29 to 507 of the family's 1533-position model. The record is from RNAcentral.
AGCGAACGCUGGCGGCAGGCUUAACACAUGCAAGUCGAGCGGGCAUCCUUGUGGUGUCAGCGGCAGACGGGUUAGUAACGCGUGGGAACGUGCCCUUCGGUUCGGAAUAACUCAGGGAAACUUGAGCUAAUACCGGAUACGUGCGAGAGCAGAAAGGUUUAUCUGCCGAAGGAUCGGCCCGCGUCUGAUUAGCUAGUUGGUGAGGUUACGGCUCACCAAGGCGACGAUCAGUAGCUGGUCUGAGAGGAUGAUCAGCCACACUGGGACUGAGACACGGCCCAGACUCCUACGGGAGGCAGCAGUGGGGAAUAUUGGACAAUGGGGGCAACCCUGAUCCAGCCAUGCCGCGUGAGUGAUGACGGCCUUAGGGUUGUAAAGCUCUUUUCUCCGGGACGAUAAUGACGGUACCGGAGGAAUAAGCCCCGGCUAACUUCGUG